UCCGUAGGUGAACCUGCGCGCAGGAUCAUUAACACUAUAUCCAACAAACUCAACCAAGCCUUACAGUUGCAGGCGUUGUCUGCAGCCUAAACCUAACCAAAAGAAGCUUAACCAAGCCAAACCUAAACCAAAUCCCUAACGAUGGAUAUCUAGGUUCCCAGAACGAUGAAGAACGCAGCGAAGUGCGAUAAGCAUUGCGAAUUGCAGAACCGUGAGUCAUCAGAUUUUUGAACGCAACUGGCUCCGCAGGGCUCCCCCUGCGGAAUGCUUCCCUCAGUGUGUUAUUAUCUCGUCACCCAAAGCAUAAUGCGAGAGAUGCCCUUCUCUUGUUAAGCUUGAAAGCACUCUGCCUACGCGGUGGCACCUUCGGGCGCUACACUCAAUGCAGCAGUCACGUCUCACGAUGUGAACUCAUUGAGAGCGAAGUCAGUACAGCUCGCUGUCAGUGCUUAGACAUCCAAAUUCUUUCAUCAUCUGAGGUGAAGUAGGACCACCCGCUGAACUUAAGCAUAUCAAUAAGCGGAGGA
Molecule: ribosomal RNA, 527 nt
Filed under: uncultured eukaryote
Lineage: Eukaryota
Description: eukaryotic LSU rRNA
Rfam family: 5.8S ribosomal RNA (bases 131-282)
Source: RNAcentral